UACGGGGGGAGCAAGCGUUGUUCGGAUUUACUGGGCGUAAAGGGCGCGUAGGCGGUCGUGACAAGUCACUUGUGAAAUCUCCGGGCUUAACUCGGAACGGUCAAGUGAUACUGUCGGACUAGAGUACAGAAGGGGCAACUGGAAUUCUCGGUGUAGCGGUGAAAUGCGUAGAUAUCGAGAGGAACACCUGCGGCGAAGGCGGGUUGCUGGGCUGAUACUGACGCUGAGGCGCGAAAGCCAGGGGAGGCGAACGGG
Molecule: ribosomal RNA, 255 nt
Filed under: uncultured bacterium
Lineage: Bacteria
Description: partial 16S ribosomal RNA
Rfam family: Bacterial small subunit ribosomal RNA
Source: RNAcentral